RNAcentral lists this ribosomal RNA (258 nucleotides) under uncultured bacterium. Its description in RNAcentral is "partial 16S ribosomal RNA". It matches the Rfam family "Bacterial small subunit ribosomal RNA", at positions 96 to 354 of the family's 1533-position model. The record is from RNAcentral.
UUGCGGACGGGUGAGUAACGCUGGGGCAACCUGCCCCGUGCCGGGGGAUACCGCCUGGAAACAGGCGCUAAUACCGCAUAAGCGCAUACAGCCGCAUGGCAGUAUGCGGAAAGCUCCGGCGGCACGGGAUGGGCCCGCGCCCGAUUAGCCAGUUGGCGGGGUAACGGCCCACCAAAGCGACGAUCGGUAGCCGGCCUGAGAGGGCGGACGGCCACAUUGGGACUGAGACACGGCCCAAACUCCUACGGAAGGCAGCAG